AGGUGUUAUAAUAUAAUAUGGUUUGUGAAAUUUUAAAUAUAAUUUGAUGGUUGAAUGAAUCAAUAUAUUGUGUGUGUUCAGGUAAGAGUUCAUGGCCAGAGUUGGUUGGAGUGGAAGGAAAGGUAGCAGAAGCUACAAUUCAAAGAGAGAAUCCAUUGGUGGAUGCCAUCAUUGUGCCAGAAGGAUCUUCUGUCCCCUUUGACUUCCGCUGUGACAGGGUUUGGGUUUGGAUUAAUAAAGAUGAAAUUGUCUACCAGGUUCCAACAAUUGGAUAGAAAGUGUCUCUAUACUCAUCAUGGAAUUUAACUUGUAUACAUGCUCCAAGUUAUAAAUUUAAUGUUUCAAUAAGGAGCUAUAGUUUCUUUCCAAUUGUAUUCUACUAUGUGUUAUUUAAACAUACAUGUUCUGCAUUGUAAAUGCAUAUAUAAAUAAUUUGUUUUUCAUUUUCUUUGCCAAGGAAAUAUAUAUGACAUUGUACUAAUAUUGUCCAAUAAUAUAUAAUUUGAUUCAUUUCAUCUGUUUUUGUUUUUAGUCUCUCUAUUUUUUUUAAAAUGGAGUUUUGGUUCCCAAUUUUAAAAAAAUGAGUUUUUGGUUCUCCAAUUUUACAUUUUCUUAAAUUUUCCACCGUCAUCCCAUUUUAGGGUCAUUUUUGCUGAUGUUAUCUAUCAUGAUAGAGUUUACAUGGUCCCAUUAAUAUUCAUGUGCCGAGAAAAUGUCUAAUAAAUAAUAUUUGUAAAAAUGAGCCAAGAAUAAGAUGAAAGCUGAAAUUUUGAAGAAAUAUGGAAAAUUGGCCGACAAAAAACCCGGUUUUUUAAAUAGUGGAACUUAAGAUUUCUUUUCUUUUUUUUUACUAGGGCGACUAAAAGAACAUUUAGCCAUAAUUUUUUUUUUAAAAUGUUGACUUUGAAAAUUAUGUGGCUUGCCAUAUCACAAAAAAAAUAUCCACAUCCAAUAUUUUCAUACAAAAAAUUAAUCGAGGGACCAAAUUAAUAGGUUUUUUCUAAUUACAUAGUCAAAUUGAAAAAACUAACUUUUUAUUGGAAAUAAAAUAAGGUGACCCGUUAUUGCAAAGAUCUUUUGCAUAUUUAAGUCCAAUAUAUAUGGUCAGUUAUUAUUAAAAUUUAUUAAUUGAUCAAUGUUCCCCUCAAAACAAAACAAAAAAUAUCAAUAUUUGUUGGGCUUUAUUCCUAAAUGAACCGUGAUGAAUUGAACUAUUUUAUUAUGCAGACCAAAAAGAUUCGUUCCGUUCAAAAAAAAAAAAACCAAAAGAGAUAUGGAAAUGAUUGUAUGAGAAACCGUGUAGGUGUUCUCUUUUUAUUUUUAAGGAAUCUUUGACCAUUGAACAAAUCUAAUGGUAUUUUUUUUUCUGCUCCACCGGUGAGGGACUUAUCUGAUCCCUCACCCUAGAAUCCACCGAAAAAAAAGUAACAAAAAAAAAAAAAAAGAUGCAGGCAGAGAAGAAGAAUAAAAGGUGAAUGAAAAAGAGGUUUACAUUGUGAGAGAGGUAGUUACUUUUUUUUUUUUGAGGGGAGAGGUAGUGACUUUUGAAACCCAUAGGUGUAACCGCUCAAAUCAAAGAUGUUUCAUUCUCAAUUUUUAUCAGCAAUCAUUGCUUUCGAGAAAAACAAUAAAGUGUCACAAAAAAUAAAUACAAAAGAGAACAACAACAACAAAUUACAGUUACAGGAGUGUUAUUUGAACAACCAUUUGGUUGACAACUUAUGUGACAACCAUAAUUUACAAAGAAAAAGUGGGUAUUUGCACGAAAAUCAAAUCAAUUGAGAGAUAAAGUAAAAAAAUAAUGUGAGUAUGAGAGAGAAAGUUGUCACAAAAUGGAUGUUCAAAUAUCAUUUCUCUUACGGUUAAUAAGAGAAAAAAAAUCAAGGAAUAUUGUGAGAAACAUGAAAGACAUGACGAUUACCUCAAAAAUAAAAAUAAAAAUGAAACAAAUGAUGAUCGUAAAGAGUGGAAUUAGAAACACAUACAUAUUGUACAAAAAAAAAAAAAAAAAAAGAAACACGUACAUCAUACAUGCACUCUUGUUUUUAUUUUUUGAGUUUGAGUCAUGUCUUUGAAUUUAUUGAGAAAUUGAGAGCAACGGGAAGUCGGGAACAUUAGUGAACCGUCUUUGCUCGCUCAACCUGAGUAACAUCACAACAAUUACAAACAACAUCAUCACUAAAGAAGAAGAAAGUAUAUUUGAUUAUUUAAAACAUUUUUAUACCUAAUUAGGACAACAAAUAACACAAAAGAAGAAAAAAGGAAGAAAUAAACUGUAGAAAGUAUCCAUAGCACCGUCACCACAAUAUUUGGUUCCCGCUAGCCUAUCGUGCUUGCCUCCGGCUGCCAACAAUGUCGCCCUUUGGUUAACAGAAGACGAAAAAAACACCACAAAAACAAUAAAUAUAAAAAAUAUAGUAAUCACACUCUCAGAAUCUCUCAUACAGUACUUUGGCGAUUUCUGUUCUGUUUGUCCAUAUAAAUUGAUUAAUCUUCAUAAUCAAUUGCCAAAAAUUUCACCAAAAUAAAUGACCCUCCACAAUCUUCACGCAGUGCUUACUUUUGAGCAACCAUUUACUAUGACUUCUUACUUAAGGGUUGUCGAGAAAAAUUCAUAUCGCUAAAGAAAAAAUAUAAUAUCAAAUACUACAAUUUAAAUGCAAAUUACGAUGAAAUGAUAUAUGGAACUAACCUUUUGAUUUGUUCCUCUUUACUAUUGUUACAAAUGGACACUUUUAGAAAAAUUACAGCAUGUGAGGAACUUUAUCUUCUCCACAUUCUUCCGUUGCAUUUUUUAUUCGGGUUUCGGUGUUGUGGUGUAUUUUAUUUAGUAGUCAUAUUUGUAUGGCAGCGGUUGUAUCUUAUGAGAAAGGUAGCAGUCUUGUUUUUGAAUAGUACGUGAGAUAGUUGUUAAACUUGCAAGGGCAAUUUAGGAUUUUUCAAAAAAGGCUACACCAAAAAAAGUAUUAUCUUUAAUAAUAGGUAUAGAUGCAACUUUAUUUUCUAAUUUAUUUUCAUACGCAAUUUAAAUAUGCAAAUUCACGUCGGGUUUAAUUAGGGUUCGAAGAUAUUAUAUUCUUUAGUUAGAUGACACAAUCAUAAAAUAAAUGCAAAUAUAAAUAUAAAUAAAUGAAGAAAGAAACAUAAAUAAUACAUAUAAUAAUUGAUACAUUUACAAUAAUUGAUACAUUUUAUGCUACUCCUCUGAAGUGCGCAUAGCCCAGAGGGGGAAGUUGUGGAGGAACCCAAUCUUCCAACUUUUUCCCAUGUGUUGGUACCUUUAAAUAUUUUUUUUGUACCGCGUUCCUACGUAAAUUUAAAAUGAACCAGUAUUGUAUCUAUAUACUUAUAUUAAAAGAAAUGUCCUUUGAAUUUACCAUUUUGCCCCUAUUAAGGGCAAUUUGGUAAAUUAAUUAUUGGCUGAGUUUUUUUUUUUUUUAAGAUUGCCUAUGAAUUUCCAUUUUUGCCCCUAACCAAUUUUUUUAAUUAUUUUCUAAUUUUUAUAUUUUUAAUAACUUUUAAUUAUUUUCCAAUUUUUAUAUUUUUAACUAUUUUUCAAUUUUUUCUCCCAAAUUCAGUUGCUUGUACAUUGCCGUUGUGGAAGAUUAAGGUAUCGUUUGACCCGACUUUUUUCAAACUUCUCUACAUUUUUAAGGAGAAGUUAGGGCAAACCCAAUAUUAAUUAAGUACUUACUAAAAAAAGAACAUUUUUUGAACGCAUAAAAUUGAAUGGAAUGAGCUUUGACUAGAAGUUGUUGAAUGUUACUUUAAAAAACUACUUCUCCACAAUUUAUUUCACAAACACCUCUUUUCAACUCACGCUUGGAACUUUUUCUUUAUUUUUUAAUAUUAUAUUUCAAUAUCUUUUUUUUAUUCAAAAAAACUAAACAUAUAUGUUUCCAUGACACCAACAAAUAUAAUAUCAUAUAGUAUAAAUUCCAGCAUUUAUAAUAGUAAUUUUUUUAAGAAAUCAUCGGGCUUCUUCAUGAGAUUGUCAAGAUAAUUCCAAUUGGGACUAAAAAGAAAUUGUGUACGAAUAUUGUGUUGAAAGAUAAAAGGUAUUAUUUUCUUAUUUGUCAGCAUAAGAUGAUAGGAUUUUGUAUAAGUUUGAUAAUGACCUGAAAGAUGUAUUUCCUUAUGCAGUGAGAAUAUAGUUGAUGUAACACUAUGGAAAAAAUAUUUCGUAGCUUUAUCAUUUACCAUCUAUUUACCUCGAGUUCUUUGCUUCCAUUUUGUAGUCAAUGGCAACCCAAAUAUAUGUAACAAUUGGUCAGGUUCGAGGCUGCUCAUCAACCUACAUUAUCCGGUUGUUGAGAAGUUUAAGACUUAGUAAGUUUGCAUUAUGAUUUCACAAUACAGUGUUAGAGUAAAUUAUUAUUUCACAAUCUAAUUUGAUUUUUUUUUACCAUGUUUCUUGAAUUGUUGUCGUGACCUUAACACUUCUCAAGCUUAGAGUCAAAAGCAUCAGUCAGAACUUAAGUCAGAGUUCGACUUCUUCUCAAUGUACUUCAUACAACGAUUUUUUCAAUCUGUCUCAAGUAAGGCCAAUUGUUGAAUUUAUAAACUUAGUCAAGGUCUGCUUUUUUUUUUUUUUUAUGUACAAACAUUCUUUGAAUUUUUUACGCACAAAUUAAAAAUACAUAUUGCAUUAUUCUUUAUUUCAUGUGCAUAUUUGUGUUAGGAUACAUAUUGCAUCACCAUUUGGAAAGCAACUAAAUUCAAUCUUAACCAAUUUGGAUAAUAUUACGAGAGUUUCACCAAAUGUUCGAAGACAUCAUUGUCAAAUGGUGCUAGCUAUAGAUGCACAUGCGGGAGCGAUGCUUAAUUUCCAUUUGUUUCAACAAUGUUAAUUGGUCAACGGGGUUCAUAUAAUGCACAUGAAUGCAUUUAUCUAGCCUUUUUAGGAAGAUAAAUUAGAAGUCAUGAUACAUUUUCUUUAGCUUAAAAUCAGUUAUGCUACCUUUAUUUUAUAAAUUAUAUGUAACUAUAUUCGCAUUAUCCAUGUUAAUAUGCAUUAGACUAAUAUUGUUGUUAUUUCCCUGUUUAGCAUUUCCCAAAUGAGGUGUCAAGAACAAUUCUAAAAGGAAAGCGCAAAACAAUCACUCUCAUUAGUUUCAAUUGUUUUCAUCCUAAAAAUUAUGUCAAUUCCUAAUCUCAUAAACUGAUUAUAUGAUCUCUAAAUCAGCUCAUAAAUAUUUUAUGAUGAAUCACAAUGUUCCGUUGUUUUAACAUCUUUUCUUUCGAAGAAUUUUUUUUAUGCCGUGAUUAUCUAAGGUUAUUAUUUUACCUUAGAUAAACAUUAAAUGUAAAAGUCUGGAGGGAAAAAUUAGGUUAAAAUUAGAGCUGACAUUUUGCAUAAAUUAAAUCUAGGGUUAAUAUAGUAAAGUCACGCGAAAAAAUACGUUAAAUCUAGGGUUAAUAUUGCGUCACGGGUUAACAAUUAGAAAUAAGAGAUGACAUUUUGCAUAAAUUAAAUCUAGGGUUAAUGUAGUAAAGUCACACGAAAAAAUUAGGUUAAAUCUAGGGUUAAUAUUGCGUCUCGGGUUAACAUUUAGAAAUAAGAGAUGUCAUUUUGCAUAAAUUAAAUCUAAGGUUAAUAUAAUUUGUUUAGUAAAUUUAAAGAGAAAAAUUAGGAGCGAUUUGUUUAUUUUAAUUUCCCUAACAAUUAACGUUAACAUUUUAUUUAAAUUAAACAGGAUUAACUAAAUAGGGUUAAUACAGUAAAAUUAAGCAAAGAAGUUAGGUUAAAUCUAGGACAAAAUUUUGAGUUCGGGUUAACUUUAAGAAAUAAAAUAGGUUAAGUAUAGCAAGAGGGAUUAACAUUUAUAAGUAAGAGAUUAGGUUAAGUAUAGCGAGACGGGUUAACGGUUAUUCCUUUCCAAAAAAACAACAUAUAAUUGGGAACAUCAUUUUAUUUUACUUUAGAUAAACAUUAAAUGCAAAAGUGUGGAGGGAAAAAUUAGGUUAAAAUUAGAGAUGACAUUUUGCAUAAAUUAAAUCUAAGGUUAAUAUAGUAAAGUCACGCGAAAAAAUAUGUUAAAUCUAAGGUUAAUAUUGCAUCAAGGAUUAACAUUUAGAAAUAAGAGAUGACAUUUUGCAUAAAUUAAAUCUAGGGUAGGGAUGGCAAUUGGACCCAGACUCGAUGGAUACCCGCAAAAAAUACCCACAAUGGGUAGGAUAAAACCCCGCUUUCAUGGAUAUGGGCACGGGUAGGGUAAUUACCCGCAAAUUUUAAUGGGUAUGGACACGGGUAAGGGUACUAUACUACCCAGCCCCGCAACCCGCAUGUACAUAUUUAUAUAAUAUAAUAAAUACUUUAUUUAUUUUUGGUGUACAAUUAUUUAAUUUAUUUAGCUAUUUAAGUCUAAACCUAAACCUAAAAUCUAAGCUAUUUAAGUUUAAACCUAAAUACUACGAUUAUUUGAAUGUUUUUAUUUUAAUUUUUGAGGGAUAUUUUGGAUGUUUUUUUAUUUGGCUAAAUACUACAAUUCGUAUUAUUUUAUUAGUUGAUUUAAAUAAUUUUGGAUCAUAGUUUUAUUUAUAUUGUGAUAUUUUUUAUUGUCUUUUCAUAGAGAAAGUGCGGGUAAUGGGUGGGGGUAUGAGCACUUAAGUGCCCAUAGGGUAUGGGGAAGGGCAUUAAAGUUGUUGCCCACGAGGGUACGGGCUCGGGUACGAACAUUUUUUACAAAUGAGGGUAUGGGGAUGGAUACUAUAGUACCCUAUCCAUUGGGUACCCAUUGCCAUCCCUAAUCUAGGGUUAAUAUAGUAAAGUCACAUGAAAAAAUUAGGUUAAAUCUAGGGUUAAAUAUUGCGUCACAGGUUAACAUUUAAAAAUAAGAGAUAAUAUUUUGCAUAAAUUAAAUCUAGGGUUAAUAUAAUUUUUUUUUAAUAAAAUUAAGGAGAUAAAUUAGGAGCUAUUUGUUUAUUUUGAUUUCCCUAACAAUUAACGUUAACAUUUUGAUUAAAUUAAAUAGGGUUAAUACUGUAAAAUUAAGCAAAGAAGUUAGGUUAAAUCUAGGGCAAAAUUUUGCGUUCGGGUUAACUUUAAGGAAUAAGAGAUUACAAUAGUUGUUAUAUUAUUUUUUAUGUAGUAUUUUAGGCUCUGUGUUGUAAAAUUUUAGUUUACGCAAUUUUGAUUUUCACAUUGAUAAAGGACAACAAUUUUCCAUAAUUUAUAAGAUUUCUCAUUCGGAACUAAAUUUUUAAAAAAUACGUUAUUCAAUCCGUGCGAAGCACGGGUUUGUAACUAGUAAUUUAAUAAAAUUCAAAUAAUGAAGAUGAUAAAAUAUUAUUAUGUAAAAAAAAAAAAAAAUUAUAAGUAAAACAAUUGAACCUAAUAAACCUUAGUGUAUCACUAAUAGAAUAAAAACACCCCUUCAAAUUACAAAGUGUGGCUUGAAGGAAACAAAUACAAAAUACAUUAUAAGCAAAGAGUGUUUUAAUUACUUACCUGACCAUAUAUACCACAGCCUACGGGCAACAUGGACCUCAUACCGCCACAAACAAGUCAUAAGGUCCACCCAUAUACCUCUGUGCGCGUUCCUUCACAUCUUGAUCCAUAUGCUGCUCCACUGCCACAAGUCCAUGCUGCUUCACAUCCCGAACCACCUCAUGUCGUCGUUCAUUUCGUCCUAUGCGUAUAAUCUUUCCACCUCGUCCUCUGCACCGAACCCCCUCAUGUCGUCGUUCGUUUCGAUUUAUGCGUAUAAUCUUGCCACCUCGUCCUCUGCACCGAACCACUGAAUAAAGAAAAACAAUUAAUAAAAGAAAAAAAAAGAAUUAAACUUAAAAACAAUAACAGUCAUUGCUACAAGUAUUAUAGUUAUUUAAUUAUACAUAUAUAAUCAAUUCUUAAUUAAAUUAAACAUGUAUGAUCUGAACCUUAGAUGGAGAUAAGCAGCAGCAGCAAAGAUACAUCUAAUAGUCAUUGCUACAAGUAUAUGUUAAAUUGAGAUUUGGCUACUUCCUUGCAGAAAGUCAGUGAUGUAUCUAAGGAAUUGAAUUAUAAAAAUUUACAAGUAUAUGUAUCUAACGAAAAUUGCAAAGUUAGUGAUUUAUCCAAGGAAAAUUGAAGUCCAUGGAUUGGAUCACAAUAUUGAAAAUUGCAGCAGCAAAGAUACAUGCAACAGUAAUUGCUACAAGUAUAUGUUAAAUGGAGAUUUGGCUACUUCCUUUUUAUGAUUCCCCAAUUAUGGUCACAAAUUACAAUUAUAUCACUUAGUCAAAUUUACUAGCAUAAUAUAAUUGUUUAUGUGCUGUGAAAAACAUAUUAAUUCUUAAAAAAAAGAAAAUAGAUUAAGGAUUCAGAAAGCAAUUUCAGAAGUUGCAUAAUCGGAAGUUGUUUACCACUAGUCAAGUUUACCUAUAGUUUGUUUACUAGCAUAUAUAAACAGAUUCGGAAGAUGCAGACAUAAAGAUGUCUGAGCCGGAAUACUUCACCAAACUGUUCCGGGAAGUACUGGAAUGCUUCAUACGCGUUUUCCGGAAGAAAAAAAAUCGGAAAGCUUGGUGAUUACGAUUCCGAUUAAGGAUUCAUAAAGCCAUUUCAUCACAUCUCACAUCAUAUUUCCAAAAUCGUCAGUUCAUCACGUCGUCGUUUUCGAUUGACGAUUCCGGUAACCACUAACCCAAAAAACGGCAAAACUUAAUCAUUGAUUCUGGUGCCCCAUUAACAGAACAAACACGCGAAAAUAUAGUGAGAACGAACACAGAAACGAUUAAGAAAACAAGGAAAGAAGGCUUACUCAUAAUCGUUGUAGAAUCAGAAGAAGGGUUUUUCCGGAAAAGGGGUGAACACGCAAAGUGUUUUUUUUUUUCUUCCAAAAGUGAAAGGAUGUUGUGUUGUGUUUUAUACAAAGGGUAAAUUUGAUAGUUUAUAUCAAAUGUUGGGGGUGAAGGUAUAUAAGUAUAAGGGUGUGGGGUAUAACUUGCAAAGAGUAAAUGAAUAGAAGUGGGUUAUGGGGCAUGGGAACUUCAAUGAAAAUAGGAAGACAACAUACACUAAAAGUUGAUACUUGUACUGUGGAACAUAUGGAGCAACCUCAAAAGAGUACAAAGGACCUAUAUAAAAUAUUGGGAUGCUACAGUAGACAUGAUUGUAUAUAGAAACAAAGAAAUAGAAAACUUCCGACACGAUUUGUGAUAUACAUGCAUGUAAUUUCAGAAAUUAUGUAGCAGCAAAGAAAUAGAAAACUUCCAACACGGUUGCACAUAAUUUCAGAAAAUUGUAAAUGAUGAUGCAUAAUUAGUGCUAUGUAAUAUUAUAAGAAAUAAGUAAUCCUCAAUAUAUACAAAAACUAACUUGCCCCCCACCACAUUUGCGUGCAUUUUGGCUGAUGUGGCUUUUAAAAUAUUAUCUUAUUAUCCACCUAAUUAAUUAUUUAAAUUAAAUAAUUUUUAAUUACAAAAAAUAAAUAACUUUUUAAAAAAAUCGAAAAAAUACCUUAAAAUGCAGAAAAAAUUCUAAAAAAUCUUGAAAUGAGAUCUAGUCCACAUUGGAGGUGCCCAAUUCUUAUUCAUGUAUUCCCAAGCUUUGUCGUUAAUUAAUUUCAUUCGAUUCAUUGCUCUCUCCCAUGCUGGAACAGUUGUAGCCCUUGCUGCCAUCCAAAACACUUCCCUUAAAUCCAAUCCAGGAUAUCUUUUCUUAAAAUUAGCAUAAAGGUGCUUCACACAUAGCCUAUGCUCAACAUGACUACCAAGGUUUUGAAUUGCCGGAACCAAACCCUAAGAUAAUUACCAAUGGUAAACAAAUAUUACAAAAAAAUAGAGAACAUUAUGCAUAUUAAAAUAUUAACAAUGACACAUGUAAGUUAUACCUUCUGUUCAUCUGAGAUGAAUGCAUAUUGCUUGUGUUGUAUAGUUUGUAGAUCUUCAAGUAAUAGAUUCAGAAACCACUCCCAUGAAUCUUUUGUUUCUGCUUCUACAACGGCAUAAGCAAUGGGAAACAUUUGGUUGAUAUGGCAUCUACAUUACAUCAAAUUCCUUUUCAAACAACUCGAGAUCGUUCAACCACAUUAAAUCUGGUGAGGUGUGCUCCAAAGUCUUAAGCUCAUUUUCCUUUUCAUCAAGUUCAGCUUCCAGCUUCUUAAGGCUUUCAAGGGUGAAAUUUUCAAAAGGCAAGGAUGAAAGAUACUCAUAGUCACCCAAUGUCGCUCCUUCAAUACUUACAGAUUGAGAUACACUUUCCUGCUCACCAGCUUCCUGCUCUUUUGAACUGUAAUCAAUUGCACCUGCAACAUGUGGUUCUGCAGAUUUACCUUUCUUCAGAAUCUCAAUCAACAAUUCAGCUCUUCGGUUGAUCGGGUUGAACUUCUCAUUCACAAUAUUGGAUAUAAACUUUUGUUUGAUUCUCAAACUCCGCAAAAGUUGUGUAAAGUUCUUCACUAGAUAUUGCUGCGGGCAAGCACAACUUGCAUUUCAGUUUACAUAUUAAUAAAUAGGUACAUGAUAUAGAGAAAGAUCUAUGUAAUUGUUAGCAACAAUAAUUCACCUUUCUCCUCACAUAAUACUUCAGCCGAAGUGUACAGAACUCUUCAAGAACUGCAUAAGAAAUGACACAGAAAAGUGAGUAGUAUGAAAAACAUUACAUGAUAAUGCGAUUCAAAGUACUUAUACAUAAAGAAGGGUAUACUUUGUUCUGGGGUGUUAUAUUUCUUAAUUUUUCCCUCUGCAUCAAAAAGAUACAUGUUGCUUGUGCUAAUAGUGCACGUCAGGUUAAACUUCUUGCGUAAUUCUUCGUCUUUCUCUAUUGUAGCUAUUUCUUCUUGCUUCACAUUGACUUUAAAGUUUACUAUUUCAUAAUCACCUUUUUGCCUAAAACUCUGCAACAAAGAAAAUUUACAUAUGAAAAAGGUACAGAUUUACCUAUGGUGUAUAUGGUAAGUAAAAGUAUAGGUCACGUCACCUCAAUGAGCCCCCGAGCAGUUAUUUUUUCAAGGAACUUCUUAUAAUCUUCAGUCCACAUUCGAAUAGGAAGCUCUUUGAUUCUGAAAGUUUGUUCAUUUAUUCUCUCCACUAAACCAUCGACUGUAUAAUAGCCUAUUCCCUUGGCACUUUUCUCAAUGGUUCCUCCGAACCCUUUGUACCAUGGUUUCAUUGACACCAUUUCCUCAUUAUUCAAGAAACGUCUUACAUUCUUAAUAAUUUCAUAUGGAUGAUAUUUGGGAAUAUCAGAACUAAAACAUGUCCCCAUGGCAUGGCAACCAUUGACAAGCACGAGAGGAAUAAUUGGUAUGUACCUGUGUGGUGACGAGCAGAAUUUGAAUCAGUUCAACUUUGAUGGGGUUCCUUAGUUGUUACUUAUUAAUAAUCACAACCAAAAUAGCCAUUACAAAGAAAGGAGAAACAAAAUACCAGUUUGGUUGAAUGGACCUCCCAUCCUCAUUCAAGUAUUCAAGAAGCUUAUCAUCAUCCACAGGGAAGAGGAGACGAGUAACGCAAUUUAGCUUAAUGUAUAACUUUCUGGAACUUGCAUGGUCUUUACCACCCUGGAACGAGCAAAUUAUCCACUGAAUAUGAGUUCAAGAAAGAAAAUGAGGAAUAGUGCAAUAAAAAAAAUACGCCGGUUCUUCUCACCAGGUCACGAGUGCCAAAUUGACCAUAAGGUAUAAGAAGAUUGAUGUUGUUGCUGCCCACAAAAUCCUGUGCCAUUCCAAUAAUUGUGCUAGCAAUACUUUGUUGACCAUAGUGACAAUAAGAAUGUUCAGUCACAUAAGCAGUUAAUCGGCAAACUUCUGUUUGUUUGGUCAAAUUCAUCUCAAAGGAGCAGAAAAGAGUCUUCCUUUGACCAAGUGUAAGGCCAUCUACCACAGACGGAAUGGACCUUUGGAGAUUUUUCAUUGAGGAGAAUAGAAGUUCUUUAUUAACAAAAUUCCUGUAGUUUAUAACUUUUCUUUCAUAAUUACAAGUGCCAGGCUGCAUCAUCAGAUAAUGGAAAACAAUAUGUUAACUAUACACCCUAGAAGAGUAAGCUUGUGUUAGAAAAUUGCUGUAUUUGGUAAACAUCAAACCUGAGAGUUACCAAUCCAAGCCUCCCAUUCCUCAGCUUUUUUACUGAAUGCCAGCUUAAUUGAAGUUUCAUCUUUAUCAUCCCAAACAAAAUAUGCCCUGUGCUUACCAAGAUCUUGAAAGUACUCUCGCACUUCCUGCGCAGAACUCAAGCCCUGCACAAACACCAAAAAUUUGAAAUAAGCAAAGACUGAAUGAAAGAAUUAGGAACACAAAAAGUAUUUUGGUUCACCGCAUAAAAUCGUUUAUUGUGUUGACUACAGCUCACGGGUGGCAGGUUGUGCAGCCAUGGCCCAACCCAAGCCAAAUCCAAAAGGAUGAAAACCGACAUUUCCCUUCAACUCUGAAGCCCCGAUACUUAAAAAUUGGUGAAGAAUUGUGUCCGACGCGUAUCCAUACCGAUACGUAUUGAUACGCGUAUCGGAGAAGUAUCAGGCAAUUAAUAUUUAUUUUUUUGAAAAUAAUGACCGAUACGUGUCAGAUACGGCUAACUUGUACUCCAACACGACUAACUUAUACUCUGACACCGAUACUCCUAUAUUACAUAUUUCCUUUAAAAAAAAAAGAAAAAUAAAAUAAUAAGAAAUAAAACUAGAAGUCCGGCACCGCUAUCAAAAACAUAUUAUCUCUUCUAACCCAAAAAAUUGGGUUUCUCGUCACCACAUAGCGAUAGCUAUUCCCUCUUCUAACCAUUACCACUGAUUGAAUUCUACUCUGUUUCUCUCUCUAAUGCUAUGUUUCUUCUGUUCUUCUUUCUAAUUGGGAAAAAAUUGAUUUUUUCAAUCUAAAAUAGUGUUAACUAUUAAGUAGUCAACAUUAGACAAAGGUGUUAUUUUUUUUUUAGUACUUAUGAUGUUCUCUUUUCUCUUUGGAUGUUAUUUUAUUAAUUAUGGGACCAAAAUGAAUACUUGAAAUUAAUUAGGAGACCAUUGGAUCAAAUAAGCCUUUCAAUUAUUAUUAAUCAUUUCAAUAAGGCAUUUUAACUUUUUUUAUAAUAGGCACUUAUAAUAUUUAAAAAUAACAAAUAUCCAUAAAAUCUUAUCAACUUACUCCCUCCAUCCCAUUAUAUAAGUAAAAAAAACUCAUUUUCUUUGUCCUAGAAUAUAAGCAAAAAAGACAAGCUUUUAUCCUAUUUAAUCUUGUUUUUAAAAAAAAUCUCUUUUCCAAGAAAAACUUUUGUUUAUUCUCAUAAAAUUAAAUGCAAAUUACAUUCAAUUUUCUCUCUUUCAUUUUUUCCAUAACCAAUAGCCAAUGAAAAUUGUUUUUACAUCUCAUAUAAAACUUUUUCCAAAGAAAACACAAAAAACUAUACUCCAAAUUUUUAUGUUUUAGUUUUCUUAAUAAGUGUGAUUUUUAUUUUUAUUUUUGCUUAUAAUUUAGGAUGGAGGGAGCAUUUCAAAACAAUUUAUGAAUAAAUAUUCAAUUAAGUUUCUUUUUUUUUUUUUAAGAGCAAAUUUAUUCCCCUCAAACUUUAAAAUACCAACAAAUCUACUAAUAGGGUAGGCAAAAGGGAGAUGCUGAGCAGACCAUGAGUGAUAUGCAGAAAAAAUACACCAAUGCCACACCAAAAUGGAAUUAGAUAGUAUCCCUUCUGAUGAAGAAGGGGCUCUAAAAGAGGCUGGAAUCAAUCUUAAACACAAAAUGAUACCAACCUCUUCGAGACACACUAAAAUGUGCCCACAGAUGCAAGUUAAACAGACUAGAACUAGUUUCCAAUCAGCCCCCUCGUAUAUAGUGGUUUAUACUUACAGUCAUAAAUAUAAAAAUAUGGAGGUUUUCCAACAACAAACCUGACAGUACUUUAUCUCCCAAUCAUUUGCAGUGUUACCCAAUUCUUUUUUCCAGUCUUCAUAUUGCUGCAUAGAAUCAAAUGAUAACUCCUUCCCCUUCUUUGAAUCAGAAGCCUGCAGAGAAAGAUAAAUGUAUCUCGUAAAAUAAAAAAAGAGAUUAUUUACUCAAGAAUGUGUACAGAGUGUUUUCAUUAUCAAUUAUACAUGCUAACCUUUAUAAUGGGAAAGGUAAACACAGACAUGAAUUUUGAAACUUUAAGUAGUGAUGGCCAGAAUGAAUAAAAGAAGUUUAUCAGUAGUCCUUUAAAGUGAGCGCCAUCUUCAUCCUAAAUCACACAUAAAUUUGAACUAUUAUGAGAAAAUCAAGCGUAGAACAUAAUCAUGCCUCAUACAUAGAACAUAAAAGUCAAGGCAUUAAUAAACUAUGAUCUUUAAGUUACUCACCUGAUUGGCCAUAACCAUCAACUGGCCAUAUCUCAAACAUUUUGCAUUACUGUAUUUCUUGUUUCGCACAAGUCCAAGAAUGGCCAUCAGAUUCUGAAUUUCUUUCUUUUUAAAUAGCUUUCUACUGUCCCUCGUCGCAUUGAGCAAUUUGCUGCUCAAUGGAAACACACCAUAGAGGUCUGGAUCCACCACAGCAGAGAGCCCGGACAUCUUCAAACCAAAAAGUAGUCAUUAAGUUCAAGUUUUUCUUUUUUUUCAUUCUUUAAUUAAAUUUAAAUAAAUGACCAUAAGCUUCAACCGCUUGUACUUAAAUGAAAAAUAUUCAUACCAAAAUUUGAAAUAUACUUUUUAAAAUUAGUUUUUGUAUAUAGACAACAACUUACAGCUAAGUCCUUCACAUAUUGUCCCUGUGUCAAAAUCAAGGUACAUUUGCCAGAGUCGGGUCUGCCAGCCAACUUGGCAUCCACAUGCGUUCGGUGUUUGAAAGGUAUCCGUGGUAGGAGGUUGUCCAGAAUUUGAGAUUUUUGAACUGCAAAAAUAUAAAAUAUUUGAGUAAAACACCAUUUCCUGCUAAUUUGAUAACAUUGCAAAACAACCAACAAAUGAGGAAUUACUAACCAUCAUUUAGCAUUGAACCUGGAAAAAACUUCAAACCCAAUCUAGCUGGUUUAGUGGUUAACAUCUCUUUGGUUUGAGAAUUAAAGGCAGGGUUGUCAAUCAGAGCAUUGACAAAAACCCACAACUGAUUCUUCACAGUGUCAGCAUUCACAUUGACAUGCUUCUUCUUCAAUACUUCCUUCUUUAUAUAGGUAGUAAUCUGCUUGGUGAUGUAAUCAACAUGAGUCCCACCCUUAAUUGUAGCAAUGGAGUUAACAAAGCUGACCUGGUAAAAAAAAAAAGGUUGUGUAAGACAAGAAAUUAACAUCAAUUAACCUGCAAGUUACACUAUACUUUAGACAGUCACCUGUUGAAACUUCCCGUCACUUAGACUCAGGCAAAUCUCCAACCUAUCACCUAAUUUGGCAUGAGUCCUAAUAACAGCAACCAAAUCAUGUUAAGAUAAAAACAAAGGAAAAUACACCAACCCACACGCAGAUUGAGUUCUCAACUACAUAUCGGUAUAGCAACAAACCUUGGCAGGGGAAAGGGUUUAGCACGAUCCAAGAAGAAAUUAGCAUAAUCUUUAAAAGACUUGACUGGAAUCACAGUGCCGUUGAGUACAACCGUAACAGUCUCACCAAGGCACACUGCCAUGUCCAACACACGCUUUUUCAUCAAAGCUAUAACGUCCUUUUCAAGAUUCUUCAUAUCAAACUUAUCCAAGUCAGGCUUAAACAUCACAUUGGUCCAUUUGCCAUUGUCACAAAGGUUGAAACAUUUGGUUGCCACAGGCGUAGCAUUAUGGAACUCCUGACAAAUGGAAAAUCAAAGACCAAAAAUUUUGAGCACAAUGAAAGCACCAAAAUCAAAGACCAAAAUUCAAACAAAUACUGGUUUGUUAAUGAUAGCAGAAAUAUAAAAUACAGGUCCAUUUUGAAAUGUAAAACUGUAACAUGAAAGGCAAAAUAUCAUCAAAUCAACAACAACUUUUCAAUAAUCAAACAGGCAUGAUCCCAUAACAACUCCCAGUUCAUUUCACCAAACAUUAAAAAAUAAAUACACUAGCUGAAUCUUGAAAUUCAAUUUUACCCACGGAUCUAGGGUGGGGGCAAUGGGGUCAAGCGACCCCACUUGCCUCCACAUGUGUAUUGUAUUUUCAACCCAAAAUUAGAUAUAUCUAUAGUUAAACUCCUCUUUAUAUAGUAUCAUUGUCUUCACAUAGUCUAUUUAUUAGACUACAAAAAUUAUAAAAUUAAGAAGAAUCCUAAUGGGUGUUCUAAGAACUAGUUAAAAAAUCAAAAGAAAUAGUUUAUUUUAUAAAAAGUUGUUAUAAUUAUCAUAUUGAUACAAAUAACAGAUGAUUUUUUUUUAAUGAAAUCUUUAACCAAUUAUCGUUGGCGAGACCAUAAAACUAUAGUUACUAUAUAUAAUUACAAUACAUAAACUAUUCUUAUAUUUGUUGAAAAAAGUUGUGAUUGACGCUAGACAAAUAUUUAUUAAAAAAUCAACAUUUAGGGCAAUUAUAAAUAUAAUUUGUAUAAUUUUCGCACGCAUUUAGAAAGUUUUAUAUAAAUUUUUAUGAUAUAACUUGACCCCACUUAUUAAAAUUUUUAGAUCCGUGAAUGCCAAAACCUAAAAAAAUAAAAAUCUAAAAGCAAGAAAGGAAUAACCACCUGACUCCAAAACCUCUGUCCAUCAGCAAUCUCAACAUAACAAUAAGACGAGUAAAGAUUCGUGGGAUGAAACUUUUUGAUUACAUUAUCAAAUGUUUCAUCGCCUAAAAGUGGAACACCUUUCAUGUAAACAUAAAUCUCAUUAACCUCAGGAAUAAUGUUUACUUCCAACCGGUCCAUGUAUGGAUCUCGCCGUUUUCUAUCAGCAGCGUGAAUAAGGAUUAUGUCGAAGAUGUUGUAGAGACCAGGGACGUACGAGAUUUUGCGGUGAAUUAUUUUGUCGUUUUCGUAAACCCAUUGUUUCUGGUUUUUUUUUUUAUUGAGUCGAUGAAGGUAUCGGGUUCGCACCGUGUUUUAUCGAGACCCAUGGUGAUUGUGGACGUGGUGGUGUCGUGUUGUCGUCGGAGAGAAAAGAGAAAAGUGAUAGAUAAUUCACUCCUACGAAUUAGGUUAUAUAUGGGCUGUGCAUGAACCCCAAUAACUCUGCUCUUUACCCAACCGUUUUUUUCAUUCUCAACUGAAAAGACCGUUUUGCCCCUUCGCUUGAGUUAACUCAAGUAUGCAACUUUAUUUUCUAAUUUAUUUUCAUACGCAAUUUUAAUAUGGAAAUUCACAUCGGAUUUAGUUAGAUCACAAAAUCAUAAAAUAAAUGCAAAUCAUCUCUAACUUCUUUGCUUAAUUUUACUAUAUUAACCCUACUUAAUUUAAUGAAAAUGUUAAUGUUAAUUGUUAGGGAAAUCAAAAUAAACAAAUCGUUCUUAAUUUUUCUCCUUAAUUUUACUAAACAAAUAAACAAACCCUCAUAUUCUUAUCUGCUUAAUUUUACUCUAUUAAGGUACCGUUUGGCCAGGCUUUUUUUCGGUCUAAAAACUACUUUAAAACAAAGUUAAAAUAAAGCUCUUUAAGAAAAAGGUUAAAGCUGUUUGGUUUCUUUAUUUUUUUUUAGUUCUAAAGUUAUUUUUGAGUUAAAAGCUGUUUGGCAAAAUAUUGUACAAAACUUUGAAUUUAUUAUUUUUUGGUGGUGUCUGGGGUUCGAACCCGGGACCUUGCAUAUAUUUUUGCAUUGUCUAUAAAUAAAAAAACUUUGAAUUCAUUAUGAAUUAACAUAAUAAAUAAAAAAAUGUCUAAAAUAUUUUUUGAAGGGAAAAAAUGUUUAAAUAUAAAAGAUAUAUUUUUACCAAUACUAUAUUUACUCAAUGACGUUUAUUUUGUGUAACAUAAAUAUAAAUUUGUAUCAUCAUAUAAACGACUUGUUAAAUAUUUGAAUAGGAGAAAUAAUUUAAGGAGGCUCAAAUAAUAACAUAAAUAAUAUCAAAGUAGUUUGGAAAAUUAUAAACAAUAAUCAUUUUUUUUUUAAAGACAUAAAUCAUCACAAACUCAAACAUUUCUACUCUCCAUCAACGCAACUCCUAUUUGAUUUCUAACUUUAUUCAUGUAGCCUCCAUCUUGCACUCUUCCUGGAUUAUAUGAACUGAUUUCUUCAUUUAUAUUAUUUUCUUCGUCACGCUCAAUCAUAUCUAUAAUAUGUAUAUGUGUGUGUAUAUAAUGAGAAUAAUUGGUUUUUUCUUUUCCAAUUAUACUCUAUAACAAAUUUUGUUAUAACAAAUUUUGUUAUAAGAAUACCAUAUUUUUAGUGUUGGUCAAAAAGAUAAGAAUUUAUAUAUAUAAUAUUAUAUUUGUUACAUUGCUGGUAUCAUUUAAAAAGAUAUGUUUAGUUUUUUUAAUAAGAAAAAGAUAUGCAUAGUUUGUUACAAUACAAAUGUGUAAAUUAUAUAUAAGUAUAAUUUUUUUAGGCAACUACACUUAUACUUUUAAUUAAAAUCAAAAUUUUAUAAAAAUAAUUAUACGCAUUACACAACACUAACAAAAAUUAUACGCAUUAGCAUAACAAAAAAAAAAACAGAAAGAGGAACAUAAAGUAUUACUCUAAACACUAAUGUGUGUGUGUAUUUCCGUGGUUGAAGAAAGGGAAUAAAAAUAUUCGGUGUCAUUCAUUGACAGCGUGAAUACAAAUAUUUGCGUGGUUGUGAUGAUCAAAAGAUAUUGAAAUUAAUAUAUAAGUGAUAAAAAGAUAAUAAAAUUCCUUAAAAAAAUAGAUAAUAAACUUAAAUGGAACCUCAUUAAAAAAUUAAAUGGACCGGUUAAAAAAAAAAAAAAAAUGGAAGAAAAAAGCAUAUUGAAAAAAUAAAACAAAAGGUUGCCGGCGUGAGUUGAAGAGAGGUGCUUGUGAAAUAAAUUGGGGAGAAAUAGUUUUUUGAAGUAGCAUUCAACAACUUUUGGUUAAAGCUCAUUCCAUUCAAUUUUAUGCAUUCUAAAAAAAGUACUUUUUUUCGAAGGUACUUUAUUGAUAUUGUGUUUGGCCUAACUUCUCCUUAAAAACGUAGAAAAGCUGAAAAAAAAGUCGGGCCAAACGGUACCUAACUCUAUUUAAUUUAAAUAAAAUAUUAAUGGUUAAGGAAAUCAAAAUAAACAAAUCUCUCCAUCAAAAUAAACAAAUCACUCCUAAUUUUUCUGCUUAAUUUUACUAAACAGAUCACAAAAUAAACAGAUCCUCCUAUUUUUAUCGAUAACAAAAAACAACGCUCCUAUUAUUUCCUUUUAUUAAAAAACAAAACAAAAUCAUAUGUAAAUUAAAUAUCAAAAUUGUUUCCUAUUAUUGUGAUACGUUUCCCUCCAACCUAAACUAAACUAAUUAUCCUAUUUUAUGAAAAAAAAAAUCAAAAUUCUUUCCAACCUAAUUAUCCUCUCUCUUCCUUAUUUAUUAAUUUUGUUACGUCUCAAGCAAUUUAACCUAAUUUUUCUCCGCUCAUUUACUUUAUUAGGUUUGCAAUUAUUUAACCUAACAAUUUAUUAAUUUUGGAAUCAUCCUCUCUCUUCUUUAUUUAUUAAUUUUGAAUGGACUGGUUUGGUUGAACACUUUUUUACAAUAUCAUAAUGUAAGACUCUUUCUAAGGACUAAAAGAAAGUAGAAUUUGCAGUGUAGUAUGAGACAUACUUAGAGAGUCUAUGAAUCUAUUAGAUAAGUGUUCCAUCCAUAUCAAUGCCUAAAAAAAAAUAACAAAUCAACGAGUUUCUGGAUAAGAAGUUUGGAGCUUUCCCAUAUUUCUUACAACGAGUUUGGAUCUUCUAAUGAGUACAUUAGCUGUAGGCAGUAGUUUUCUGAUUUAAAGUUAAUUAUACAUUUUGCUAUGAAAAGACACAACUUGACUGGAAGGUUUUAAUCUCAUCUAUCUAUAGGAUAAAGCACAUGAAUCUCGAAUACAUAACAUACUGCACUUUUAUUGACCGGUGAAAGUAAAUACCGCAAUUCUUAAAGUUAUUUAGUGUGAGCGUUUAUUUUAGUGUUUAACCUGAUGCUGCCGUGCGUUUGAGCAAAAGCUUGUAUUCUUAGCUUCACAAAAUGGUGGUCAAAAAGGCAUUGAGACUCCAGAAUGCUAAUUUAAACGUUAAACCAAAACAAUGACUUAGUUGUAUUGGAUUGGUCAUUUAAGUUUUUAUUUUUUUUGGUUUUAAAUUUGGUCAUUUAGGUUACAUAUAGUAUACAUGGCUACUAUUUUUUAUGCAUUUUGCAACAAAUAUUCACAAGUGUUUGAAUUGUGAUAUAAUUAGGGGUGGGGAUGGUUCGGUUAACCAUAUUAAUCGAACCGAACCGAAUUAAAGUGUUGAAAUGGUUCAGAAUAACCGAAUUGAACUGUUUAAGUUUUGGAACUAAUUGAAUUGAACCAAUGGUUCGGUUAAUCAUUUGCUUGCCUAUUAACCGAACCGAACCGAACCAAAACCGAAAUGUUUUUUUUUUAUCCUUUUGCAAAUUUAAUUGUGUUUUUUUUUUUGUCCUUUUUAAAUUUGAGAAUUUUCUUUGGAGUUGAGGCAGUGACUGUGAUGCCACUCUAUGCGUAUUGAGUGUUUUAAGGAGUCAUAUUUCUUUGUAUGGAUCCAUUUUUAUGUCCGACUAAUAAACUGCUUGACUCAGUUGUUGUAAUUGUUAACAAAAGCAUUCAGAUAAGAAAUUCAAUUGACUUAAAAAUCAAUAUUACAACAUACUUGCAUUUGAUGUUGUAAAAACUAGAAUCAAAUAUUUGUAUGAAAAACUAUCUAUAAUAAAAUUGUAAUAUCAACAUCAAUUAUAUCAAAAUUGAAUUGCAUUAUAAGAAGUGGACAUACAAAUAUGCAGCUUUAGAAAAUAAAAAAAUUAUGAAUAAACUAGACAUUUUUAGAAUAUAUACAGCGUUAGAGUAAAUUGGACUGCAUUACAGUAUGAGUGGUGUCACAAAUUAUAUUAUCAGCAAUCAAAUCAGAGUUACUUUCUGUUAUAGAUUAUGUUUUUACAUUGUUUAAGCAAAAUUAGAAUGAAUUCCUUUUGUCUUCUAAGCGUUUCCUUUUAUAAUCCUUAUUUCUUGUCUAAUGGGUCUCUCUUUUGUUCACGCAAACCCAUCAAAUUGUGAUUCAGAGUUCCAACUUCUCCUUUGGCAUGAGUGCGUAAAGCUAGCUGCUCCUCCUCAAUGUAGCUCGCCCGUACAUAUGAAUUGACAUCUAUAAUCUCAUGGUUUCUCACCGUUUUGAUAAGGCUUGUUUGUGAAGUUAUAGGAGUCUAUAUGUUCCAUAUUAUUGACCACAAGCAAUCAUGCGAAAAAGUAAAAAUGAUUUUUUCCAUUAUUAUGAAACACUGCUUGUAUCCCUAGAACUUCUUCACACAAGGCCUGUGAUUUGGCAAAAUGAUUAGGACGGAAUUAAAAAUAGAAAGUAUUUUCUCCAACAAAUUUUCUGACACCAACUGCAUUCUUGAAAUGCACUUGAACUUGGACAGAAUUUCAGCUACCUCAUCCAUCUAUCACGCAGAAACUACUACAUGAGCCUCUGAAGCCGGAGUUACUUGUUAUAUCAAACUGCGAUUGAGAAUAGAAACUCUUGAAAGGUUUCAAGUAGGAUUAACUUGUGGAUAUUAAGUUGUACUUUUCUGACUUUUCUUCUCUACUUAGUUUCAAUUUCUUCAAUUUGCAGUAGCUUAACUUUACUGCUAAAGAAAGCGACAAGCACAUCGUAUUAUGUUGGCAGAAUGAAAAACUUGAUUCGAAAUAAGAGGAAUAUUUGAUAUCUAACUAACAAGAAGUUGCAAUUAUUAUGAAGAUACAAAGAUGUAUCCGCCUUACUUCGAGCAGCGAAAAAGUCCUUACAUUAUCUUUUCACAUGUCAUGGUUAAAUCUGAUCUGAGAAUCUUGAGCAACAAGUAACAACAUCAUAAGAUGACGAGAUUGCUACAGAAAACUACACAAUUUUAUUUUUUUUACCAAUAACAGACUGCAACAUUUAAGAUUAAAAAACCAUGCAAGCUCGAAUGACAAUCUUAAAGAUUUUAAAAACAAAACAAUGAGAUCCAAUGUAUAAGAGUAUCCGCAUUCUCUGUAUUAGCUAAUUGUGUAACAUCAGUGAUAAUGAUUAGUGAUAAUAUAUUGAAUUUAGUAAAUAUAGAUAAACUGAAAUCAAACAUUAUUAAAGAAUGAUGACUUGGUUAUUCAUGAGUAGGUACAACACUAACAGCUACCUACAGUACUAAUUGAGUGCACAAACUAAAUAAAGCAAGAAAAUAUACAUUGUGGUAUUGAAUAAACUAGGUUUUUAUGAACCGUAGUACUCCCGCAAAAGUUCAUGUUGGGUGACAACAAUGCAGAGAACUGAGUUUGUACCGCAUUACCUUGUCAGCAUGAUUUUUUUUUUUUGUUUUGAAAGACCUUGUCAACAUGAUAGUUUCUAUGAUCACGUGCAUUUAUCUAUGACAGCGUCGUAUAUUACCCCUCAUUAGGCUUGUACGUUAGAUAUCUCUAACCUUAGUUGUUUAACUAUUUAAUCAUAAUCACAAUAGAAGAUUAACAGCCUAAAGCCUAAAAAUACUUUUUUUUUUUACCCAAAUUACGUAAUUUUCAAAUUUAUAUACCAAAACACACAUUUUUUCUAACAAAGUUAAAUUGAACUCCUUCACUCUAUGAACCCCUAAUCCUCCACUCUCUUUAUCAAGGAAAUAUAUAUGAUACUGUACAAAUAUUGUCAAAUAAUAUUUAAUUUGAUUGAUUUCACCCGUUUUUGUUUUUCUCUCUCUUGUUAGCCUGUAAUUUCGACAUGCUCAAUUAAUGCAGUCAAUGAGAGUUGAUUUUUUGUUCUUUCAAGAAUUAAAGAUGAUGUUUCUAGCAUGAAGAUUUCGACAUUUGAGACUUAGCAUUUUGAAGAGUUCAAGAGCUUCGAAAUUCGACAAAAGGGUAUUCAGAGGAAAGAUUGGUCGAAACCAAGCAGUUGUUGUCGAAGGGAAAAUAAUUCAAAUUCAAAAGUAUCAGUUUUUAUUGAGACGUGGGAGACAUACAGUUUUCGAUGAAAGAAGUGCAGCUCGUGGCAGUUUAGCUUCUUUACAGUUAUUUCUUCUAUGCAUAAAUAAUAGUUUUUCAUAUGAAAAAUUAGUCGCAAAUCACUUAUAAAAUUCUAGUACUCGAAGUACCAGCGUAUAGAGAAAAGAGUUAUAUAAAAUGAAUGUAAUCUGAUUUGUCAAACCAGCUUUACAUUAAUGCAAUGCAAUCUACGUUUUCUUUAAGUUUAUGUGUUUUAAACUUUUAAGUCUUUUACAUGCAUUUUCUGAAUUUUUCUCUGUCGAAAGACAAUUAUUUUCAUACACAACUUCAUCUUGUUCAUAAAGCAACCUAUGGAUAUGAUGAACAUUCAUAUACUUUAUGAAAAAAGAUUGCACAAUAUGUCCUAAGAUUUCUGAUUUGGUCCUGCUUGUAAUAAUCAAAACUAAUCUUGUUGUUUACCAAAAACACCGGUAAAAAUCUCAAUUUUUAAAAAAAUGGAGUUUUGGCUCCCAAUUUAAAACUGACAUGUCUUUUGAAAAUAUAAAUAUUUAAAUGUAUUAACUAUCCUAUAUUAUUAUCAAAUCAUCCGUCUCAACUGUCCUCGUGAGUUUGCCUCAGUUGGUGGUAAAAACAAUGUAUAAUGUUGGAACACAUGGAGUGUUAUGGUGUGAAUUAAAAAAGGCUAAAAUAUGGUUUUAGUCCCUGCAAAUAUGCCUCGUUUUGGUUUUAGUCCCUAUGAAAAAAAAAUUGUUUUUGGUCCCUGCAAAAUUUUUUGUUUUUUAAAAUAGUCCCUGACCCCAUUUUUGUGAUGAUUUGCAUACGUGGCACAUGAUGACCGAACCAAUUUUGUAGUUUUUGGUCCCUGCAAAAUAUUUUGUUUUUUAAAAAGGUCCCUGCAAAAAUUUUUGUUUUUGAAAAUAGUCCCUCCAGGGAUAGAGGGAAUAUUUUCAAAAACAAAAAAUUUUGCAGGGACCAAAAAUAUUUUUUUUUUUCACAGGACUAAAACCAAAACGAGGCAUAUUUGUAGGGGGCUAAAACCAUAUUUUAGCCAUUAAAAAAAUUCUCAUGUCAAUUUUCUCAAUUAGUGCUCAUUUAUGAUGUGAGAUCAAGCCAUUGAUUUUCUAACGGUGAACUAAUCCUAGUCAUUGAAUUUGUAACUUAUCUUUGGCUCUUCACCUAUAAAUUGAGCUCUUCUCCCCCACUUCUACUCACACCAAAAGUUCUUUUGAGUUGUCAAAGAACUUUUCUCUCUGCUCCCUCCUUUAGCUUGUGUUGACGAGCUAUUCUUUUCCUCUCCCUCUUUUUCUGUCCCUUUGGAUUUAAAGAGUGUUCUUAAGGUCAAAGUCCCUUCAGUUUAAAAUGUCCCUUCGGAAUUAAGAAUGGUCUUAAGAACAUAGUCCCUUCGGUAUAAUUUUUUCCUUCGGAAAUAAGAGUAUUCUUAAGAUCAAAGUCCCUUUCGAGAUAAAGCAUCCCUUUGGAAAAUAAGAAUGAUCUUAAGAAUAUAAUCUUUGUUUUAUGUUUUAUGCCCUUAGAGAAGUUAGAGGUGGAAACACCAUAUUAGAGUGGUCUCAAUACCAUAUAAGAAUGAUAUAUUAGUACCAUAAUAGAGUGGUAUCGGUACCAUAUUGGAGUGGUUUAAGAACCAUAUUGGAAGGUGUAUUUCUAGAACAGAUCCUAUAGUGCAAUAUGACUCUGGUACAGUUGUAGCUGGGCUGUUUUAUCUUGGGGACGUCGUGGUUGAUAGUCUGCUUGCACAAUUUUGAGCAGUGUCACGAAACGUCUUAAAGAGAGCGACCUAGUACACGACUCAGCCUAGUAAUCUUUUCUGUGAUAAAAAAAAUAUUUUUAACUAAUUUUGACUAUUGUUCCAACAUAUAAUAUAUAUAAGAUCUAAGAUCCCGACCACCAAAAAUAUAAUCAUCUGUCUCAACUCUUAACGCUUUGAAGAUGGAAACCAAGUUCCGUGUACAUAUCAACAGUUUUCCUUUGAAGUUUGAAAGUAGUCAUGCAAAAUAUUUUCUUCUGCAUGUUUAUUUUGUUCUCAUAAUAUAAUAUGUUGCAAGUUAUUUCAAAAAAUAAUAUGCUGCAAGUUCAAUCCGAUUCUUAUCUUUUUGUGUAAUUUAAUCAAUCCUCCUUAUCUUUAUCGACGUGUUUUUUUUUUUUUUUUUGAAGAUUUUAUCGACAUGUUUGUGCACACAUAUUAAAUCCAGAAAGGCUGCACGAACACCUUAUGGGAACAAAUUGUCAAGUGCCAAUUCUAUAAUCAUUUUUUAUUAAAAGAAAUUCUAUAACCAUUUUGUUACCUAAAAAAAUUAACAUGUAUGCUUCUUAAACAAGAACACUGUUAGCGUGACAUCGUAAAAUUUGACAAAAUCUUAUCCGUGCAAAUUUUGACAAUAUAAUAGAAUAGUCAAAUCAUAAGUUUACUAACCCAUAAGAUUUAUGUAUUAAAAAAUGCCACCAAAAACUACUAUAUAUACACCUUACAUUGCAAUGCAUUAUAUAUCAAAAACACAAGAAUUGCAAAAAGAAAAAAAAAAAAAAAAAAAAAAAGGCACACAAAUAGUCAUACAUAUUCAAGGAUCAAAAAGGAAAAAAAAAUGUCUGAUGAUGAAUGCAAAGGUAAGGAGUUAUAUAUAUGUUUACAUGCUUAUAUAUGAAUAAUAAAUUAAAUGGUUUGUGAAAUUUUAAUUAUAAUUUGAUGGUUUAAUGAAUCAAUAUAUUGUGUGUGCUCAGGUAAGAGUUCAUGGCCAGAAUUGGUUGGAGUUGAAGGAAAGGUAGCAGAAGCUACAAUUCAGAGGGAGAAUGCAUCGGUGAAAGCCAUCAUAGUGUUAGAAGGAUCUUCUGUCACCGACGACUUACGCUUUGACAGGGUUAGGGUUUGGGUUGAUAAAGAAGGAAUUGUGACUCAGGUUCCAACAAUUGGAUAAAAAGUGUCAUGGAAUUGAACUUGUAUAUAUGCUCCAAGUUAUAAAUUUAAUGCUUCAAUAAGGAGCUAUUUUCUUUCCAAUUGUAUAUUGUUAUAUGUUAUUUUUUUAUUUUGGUGGUCGGGGUUUGAACACCAGACCUUACAUAUAUUAUUUAUUAUCCCUAUCAACUUAGGUAAAAAUUAUUGUUAAUUGUUAUAUG
RNAcentral lists this long non-coding RNA (25974 nucleotides) under Medicago truncatula (barrel medic). Its description in RNAcentral is "long non-coding RNA (MTRU_LNC005305)". The record is from RNAcentral. Lineage: Eukaryota; Viridiplantae; Streptophyta; Magnoliopsida; Fabales; Fabaceae.